This is a long non-coding RNA of Equus caballus (horse), 2214 nucleotides long. The record is from Ensembl. NCBI's taxonomy places the organism in Eukaryota, Metazoa, Chordata, Mammalia, Perissodactyla, Equidae.
CAGGGAGGAGAGCAAGGAGGAAGGUCGACAGGCAUGCCCAUGCUCACCGUUGGGUCAUCCAGCAGAAAGCUGCCGUCACACCUGCAGGGACCAGCAGGACCAUGAGAUCCCGCAUCCAUCAGCUGAGAACCACUGGGUGAGGAGGGCAGGCUGGGGUGGCCUCCGCCAAGGGGCCCUGGUGGGAGAGCACUGGACAUGCUAGCAGGGGAGGAGAGAGGUGCCCUGUUUUGCCAACUUGGACUUAUGUUACGAUUACAUCUAAGGCUAGGUAAGGCACAUCCUAGGCUGACCUGGUAACCAGACCUAAAUUGCAAGGAAUCAAGGAACAGGAAGUCUUUGCCUGGAUGUUGAAGGCAGGCCCAUGUCCUUGGAAGCUGGGGAGGAACCUUCCCCUGGGACGGGCCCAGAACACCCCUGAAUUUCUGACUCAGGUAAGCAGGUCUCAGCACCCAGUGCUCGUUUCCCACAUGUGGAGCUGAAAGAUCCCUGGCACCUUCAGCAAGUUCUAGUCAACAAUCCAGUGUGCCGUUGCUCUCUAACGCUCUCCCUCCUGGGGCUGCCCUCCCUGCCCCUCCGUCUUGCAGAGAGCUAUGGGAGUCAAGCCUUACCUCCCUCCACCCCCGUCACAGUAGUCCACACCACCCUCUGCUGUCUCUGAGUCACUCCCAUCCAGGAUAGAAAAGGAGCCUGCUUGAAGACAGAGCUCACUGUGCCUCAGUGGAUCCCCAAGAAAUGACCUCAGGGGGACUCUACCCUCCCUUUAAUCCCCAUCCGCUUCUCCUCUCCUUCUCCUGGCCACCCUUCCCCACACCCUAUCCAAGUAAGACCAGUGUGCUGAUAGACCGAGACGCUGCAAGACCAACCGCCAGCGCCCCCCAACGGAGAGCAGAGUCCUGCAUAGAAAUGCUGAAGGGGCACUUAAACAUAGAAAGCAAGUUUUAACAGACCUAAAGGGAGAAAGAGACUGCAAUACAACUGUUGGGGACUUUAGUACCCACUUACAGCAGUGGAUAGAUCAUCCAGACAGAAAAUAAUAAGGAAAUGUCGGCUUUAAAUGACACAUCAGAAAUCCUGGCGGCUCCUCUGGCUCUCAUCCUUCCUGGCUGGCUGAGCUGGGGCUGGGUACAAGCUCUCCAAGCCUCAGUUUCCUCCUCUGUCAAGUGGAGAUAGUGCUCCCUGUCUUACUUGUGACGUGGAUUGAACAGAUGAUCCGUGAAGACUUGUGAGUGAUGGAGCACCAACCAGACAUGAGGAGGCUGCCAUCCCGAUGGCUGGAUCACAUGGCUCUCCCCCCGCCUCGAGCAGGCAUCUCGUCUCCGCAGGUGGACUGUGCGCAGCCGGGCGGGGCUGGGCCUCUCCGCACACAUCUGCGUGUCCCUCAGUGCCAAGCGCAGCCCCAGCGGCCGGCACCUAGGACAGUCCUCAGGAAAUACCUGAAAAUAUUGGGUGAGUUGGUCACUGCAUGUCGUUUUCUCAGCUUCCCUCACCACUCAGAGCCAAGCACUCAGUAAGCAGCUGCGUGAUGUGAGAAGCCCCAACCUCCUCACACAACCUCUUGAUGUCUGAGCAGAUGCCGUUCUCCCAUGUUGCAGCUGAGGGGAGAGAAGCCAGCGAACUUCAAACCCACCCAAAGGUGUAUAAAAGAGGAGCAGAGCCACAUGGAGACCCCCAGGCUCUUCCCUUUCCUCUCUGGCACCUGCCGACGGGCGAGGGCCAGACAGGGGCACAGCCUGUGGCUGACGUGGCUUCAGCCUCUGCCCUCUGAAGACAAAGGCACAUUGAGUCUCCGCCAGCCUGCAGCUCGUGGCCUUCUCUGUCCAGAUCUUGGCCUGUUUCCUGGUCCUGGUGGACCACGCCCCGGGGCAGGCUGCUUCGCUCACCAUUAAGAGCCUGAGGCCUUCGGAUGCAGAACUGAGAGGGGAGGAUUGGGUCUGGGUGUGAGUCAAGACCGGAAAUACAGCCCACUCAUCCCCCAAGCUUCUCGGCACCUGCCUUCUUCAGAGGCUGACGUUCCAUGUGGACCCCUCUCCUCCUCCUCCUUCCUCUCUCUCCCUCUCUUCUUCCUUCCUUUAUUUAUUUCUGCACAUGAUUAUUGAUGCACCAUAAUGUUCAUUGUAUUCAUUGCAGUCUUUUGAAAAUAACAUAAACCUAAGACAGGCUUAAGUGUUGCCUUUUGGAGCCUGGAAUUCUGUACCUUGUUAAAAAGAAAUAAAG